GACGAACGCUGGCGGCGUGCCUAACACAUGCAAGUCAACUUGAGGGAAGGAGCAAUCUGACCUGAUGGUGCGCAAGGGUGCGUAACGCGUAAGUAACUUGCCCAAGGUAAGGAAUAACGUCGAGAAAUCGGCGCUAAUACCUCAUAAUGCAGCGGAUCCGCAUGGAUAUGUUGUUAAAGGUUUACCGCCUUGGGAUAGGCUUGCGUCUGAUUAGCUAGUUGGUGUGGUAAUGGCACACCAAGGCUACGAUCAGUAACUGGUCUGAGAGGAUGAUCAGUCACACUGAACUGAGACACGGUCCAGACUCCUACGGGAGGCAGCAGUGAGGAAUAUUGGGCAAUGCACGAAAGUGUGACCCAGCAACG
Molecule: ribosomal RNA, 365 nt
Filed under: uncultured bacterium
Lineage: Bacteria
Description: bacterial SSU rRNA
Rfam family: Bacterial small subunit ribosomal RNA
Source: RNAcentral